Long non-coding RNA from Anser brachyrhynchus (Pink-footed goose), 553 nucleotides. Lineage: Eukaryota; Metazoa; Chordata; Aves; Anseriformes; Anatidae. The record is from Ensembl.
AUAGCAUUAUUUAAAUAUUUGGUAAUGAUAAUUUUAAAAAGGCAUUUUUUAUCAUUGAAGAAGCAGAGAAAAGCUUGGAAACAACCCAGGUGCAAUGGAGAUGGUUGCUUUUGACUGGAGCCAUUCUGCAAGUAGCCGAUGAAGGAAGUCCUCUCCUAGCAAGGGACACUAGGUUUUCUUCCUCUAUUGGAGCUGGCCAGCCAAUACUACCAAGUCAGCAGGAAGAGGGGAAGAAAGGACACCAGCACUUUCUGAAAUAGAGCAGAAAAUUGGGGUCGUUCUCUUCUUACUGUCCUGUCCUGCUCAACAGUUCACACUCAAACAAGCAGAAGUGUUCAUAUUUCUGGAACCUACUCAGCAUUUCAGAUUUUUGGAUGAUGAAAGAGGAGAAAAAGCUUCAGUUGGCACUUACAUUUUUUGACAUCGAAGCUACUCACAUGUAAGAUCCAAAUUAAAAGAAAAUCAGCUUGUUAAGAAAAAUAUAUGGACAUUUUUUUAACACUGAAACAAUUGUUUAAAUUUUGGCUUUGGCAAGGGAACCCGUAAAGCAUCU